Molecule: ribosomal RNA, 570 nt
Filed under: uncultured bacterium
Lineage: Bacteria
Description: bacterial SSU rRNA
Rfam family: Bacterial small subunit ribosomal RNA
Source: RNAcentral
GAUUAGUGGCGCACGGGUGAGUAAUAUAUAGAUAACGUGCCUCUUAGUCUGGGAUAGCCAUUGGAAACGAUGAUUAAUACUGGAUACUCCUUCUCAUUAUAAUUUGAGUCGGGAAAGUUUUUCGCUAAGAGAUCGGUCUAUAUCCCAUCAGCUAGUUGGUAGUGUAAGAGACUACCAAGGCAAUGACGGGUAGCGGGUUUGAGAGGAUGAUCCGCCACACUGGUACUGAGACACGGACCAGACUCCUACGGGAGGCAGCAGUGAGGAAUAUUGCACAAUGGAGGAAACUCUGAUGCAGCAACGCCGCGUGGAGGAUGACGCAUUUCGGUGUGUAAACUCCUUUUAUAUGUCAAGAAAAUGACGGUAGCAUAUGAAUAAGCACCGGCUAACUCCGUGCCAGCAGCCGCGGUAAUACGGAGGGUGCAAGCGUUAUUCGGAAUCACUGGGCGUAAAGGACGCGUAGGCGGGAAGCCAAGUCUGAUGUGAAAUCCUAUGGCUCAACCAUAGAACUGCAUUGGAAACUGGUUACCUAGAGUAUGGGAGGGGGAGAUGGAAUUAGUAGUGUAGGGG